This 288-nucleotide ribosomal RNA is filed under the name Agrocybe vervacti. Its description in RNAcentral is "partial small subunit ribosomal RNA". Lineage: Eukaryota; Fungi; Basidiomycota; Agaricomycetes; Agaricales; Agrocybaceae. The record is from RNAcentral.
CCUUACUAUAAGUGUUGUCUAAAUUACUGGCGACAGAAGACUCGGUAACACCAGAAACGCGAACGUUAGUCGUCUUAAACAGGCGUAAAGGGUGAGUAGGCAGCUUAUAAAUUUUUAAAUUAAGCUAAGCUAUAUAAGUUAAUAGAAAAAAAAAAUAAAAGAAUCAAGAACCUAUUAAUUUAUAAUUAAAAAAUUUAAUUUAAAGAAAAUAAAAGCUAGAAUCUUAUUGAGGAUAAACCAAAUAAUGCUUAUGAGUAGGGAUGAUUUCUUUAGAUACGAAGUAGGAUA